RNAcentral lists this ribosomal RNA (769 nucleotides) under uncultured bacterium. RNAcentral describes it as "bacterial SSU rRNA". It matches the Rfam family "Bacterial small subunit ribosomal RNA", at positions 54 to 808 of the family's 1533-position model. The record is from RNAcentral.
CAUGCAAGUCGAGCGGCAACACAGAGGAACUUGUUCCUUGGGUGGCGAGCCUCUUACGGGAGAGUAAUGCCUAGGAGAAAUUGCCCGGUAGAGGGGGAUAACCAUUGGAAACGAUGGCUAAUACCGCAUAACCUCGUAAGAGCAAAGCAGGGGACCUUCGGGCCUUGCGCUACCGGAUAUGCCCAGGUGGGAUUAGCUAGUUGGUGAGGUAAGGGCUCACCUAGGCCACGAUCCCUAGCUGGACUGAGAGGAUGAUCAGCCACACUGGAACUGAAACACGGUCCACACUCCCACGGGAGGCAGCAGUGGGGAAUAUUGCACAAUGGGCGCAAGCAUGAAUGCAGCCAUGCCGCGUGUAUGAAGAAGGCCUUCGGGUUGUAAAAGUACUUUCAGUAGGGAGGAAGGUGGUUAAGUUAAUACCUUAAUCAUUGGACGUUACCUACAGAAGAAGCACCGGCUAACUCCGUGCCAGCAGCCGCGGUAAUACGGAGGGUGCAAGCGUUAAUCGGAAUUACUGGGCGUAAAGCGCAUGCAGGUGGUUUGUUAAGUCAGAUGUGAAAGCCCUGGGCUCAACCUAGGAAUCGCAUUUGAAACUGACAAGCUAGAGUACUGUAGAGGGGGGUAGAAUUUCAGGUGUAGCGGUGAAAUGCGUAGAGAUCAGAAGGAAUACCGGUGGCGAAGGCGGCCCCCUGGACAGAUACUGACACUCAGAUGCGAAAGCGUGGGGAGCAAACAGGAUUCGAUACCCUGGUAGUCCACGCCGUAAACG